CAGUCGCCGCGGGAAUACGAAGGGUGCAAGCGUUACUCGGAAUUACUGGGCGUAAAGCGUGCGUAGGUGGUGGUUUAAGUCCGUUGUGAAAGCCCUGGGCUCAACCUGGGAAUUGCAGUGGAUACUGGGUCACUAGAGUGUGGUAGAGGAUAGUGGAAUUUCCGGUGUAGCAGUGAAAUGCGUAGAGAUCGGAAGGAACAUCUGUGGCGAAGGCGACUAUCUGGGCCAACACUGACACUGAGGCACGAAAGCGUGGGGAGCAAACAGGAUUAGAUACCCCAGUAGCCCCUGUCUCUUAUAC
RNAcentral lists this ribosomal RNA (301 nucleotides) under uncultured bacterium. RNAcentral describes it as "partial 16S ribosomal RNA". It matches the Rfam family "Bacterial small subunit ribosomal RNA", at positions 509 to 807 of the family's 1533-position model. The record is from RNAcentral.